This 250-nucleotide ribosomal RNA is filed under the name uncultured bacterium. RNAcentral's name for it is "partial 16S ribosomal RNA". It matches the Rfam family "Bacterial small subunit ribosomal RNA", at positions 524 to 773 of the family's 1533-position model. The record is from RNAcentral.
UACGGAGGAUCCGAGCGUUAUCCGGAUUUAUUGGGCGUAAAGGGUCCGUAGGCGGUUUAUUGCAUCUCCUGUUAAAUCACGAGGCUCAACCUCGUGGCCGCAGGAGAGAUGAGUAAACUAGAGACCGGGAGAGGCAAGCGGAAUUGCUGGUGUAGGGGUUAAAUCCGUUAAUAUCAGCAGGAACACCAAAUGCGAAGGCAGCUUGCUAGAACGGUUCUGACGCUAAGGGACGAAAGCGUGGGGAGCGAAU